RNAcentral lists this ribosomal RNA (527 nucleotides) under Bombus cornutus. Its description in RNAcentral is "partial 16S ribosomal RNA". The stretch from base 375 to 527 matches the Rfam family "Bacterial large subunit ribosomal RNA", at positions 2473 to 2626 of the family's 2925-position model. Lineage: Eukaryota; Metazoa; Arthropoda; Insecta; Hymenoptera; Apidae. The record is from RNAcentral.
GUCUUAUUGAAUUUAAUUUUAAGUCGAUCUGCCCAAUGAUUAUAAUUUAAUGGCUGCAGUAUAUUUAACUGUACAAAGGUAGCAUAAUCAAUUGUUUUUUAAUUAAAAUCUAGAAUGAAAGAAUUAAUGAGAUAUAUACUGUCUCAUAUAUAAUUAAUAAAUUUAAAUUUUUAGUAAAAAUGCUUAAAUUAUUUUAUGGGACGAUAAGACCCUAUAGAAUUUUAUAUAAUAAAUUUAUAUUAAUUAUUUAAUAAAAUUUUUUAUAUUUAAUUGGGAGGAUUAGUAAAUUAAAAAAACUUUAUUUUAAAAUAAAACUUUGAUUUAAGAAUUUUUUUGAUCUUGUAUUAUAAAUUAAAAGAAUAAAUUACCUUAGGGAUAACAGCGUAAUAUCUUUUUAAAGACCAAAUUUAUAAAGAUGAUUGCGACCUCGAUGUUGAAUUAAGAUUAAUUUUGAAUGUAGAAGUUUAAUAAUUAAGUCUGUUCGACUUUUAAAAUCUUACAUGAUUUGAGUUCAAAUCGACGUAAGU